CGUCAUACACCUGCACCCGGGAGGAAAGGCGAGGCUCUGCAUCUAGAUUUACCUCGUUCUCUUUUGUCUCCGCUUUUUUUUCACAUUUCCUUGCGACCCUGGCCCUUGAGCGACAAAAAGGGGAAGCCAAGGCUGGCCCGAGGAACGGAGAGGGCACAUGGCCUAGCCACAAGUGGAGCUUCUGCUCCGCCCGAAGGGAUGCGCUGGAGCGGCCUCUUCCUUCUGCCACGGUCUUUCUUUGCCAACUAGUAGAGAUGGGGUUUCACCAGGUUAGCCAGGCUGGUCUUGAACUCCAGACCUCAAGGGAUCCGCCUGCCUCAGCUUUCCAAAGUGCUGGGAUUACAGGUGGAGACUGGACCUCAGAAGAGGGAGUGGGUGCCCCGAGAACUCACAGCUAGCGGACAGUGGAAAGGGCAGGAGCCGGACCAAGGUGAGGACAGUGGAACUGAAGGCCGCUGGUUACCUCUCCUGCCCUCCGCUGGCCACAGUGGAGAAGACAGCCCCUCCCUCCUGCUCUGACCUGACAGUGUUCAUCCAUCGCCCUGUAUUAGCGAAGAACAACAUCAAGCUGGCUAGCAAGGAACUGUAUACAGGGUCCAGCUGGGUAUCACACUGGAUCUCACCCAAAGCUUAGAUGUGAUCCAGCUCAGUAUCACAAAGCAGAACGAAAAGGAUGUGUUUGGGCUGAGAGGCCAUACAUUGGCUCCGGCAUGACGGGUGACUUCUUCCGAGUCUGGCUUCUGCAGCACACAGGGCUUCGCCAGCACCCAGCUCCUGCAGCAUGGGCAGCUCCUGUGACAGCAGGCGCCCGCAGCCUGCAAAGCGUCUCCAGUGCCGCCGCCUCAGUGAACCUCAACCAGCGGCACCUAGCAGCUUUCUCUGCCACCCUCUUCAGGUAGUUCUGUAGCAGCGCGUUUCUCAUGAGACACUUCCCUGUGAGCAGCUUUUUCUACCCUUGAGGAUGGAUUUCCAGCAAAUUCUGCCCAUGUGGUACCACAGCCACUUCUCUGCCAUUCAGUGAAACUGCCGUUGUGCCCUCUUCAAGGUCUGGAUCUAAGCCCAGGGACCAGGAAACCUCUUGCUUGAGUGCUGGAACUCAGGCCAGAAGGCAGGAAGCCCGCCUGACCCCAUGUCUCAGGCUGCCAGAGGAGCGUGCGAUGAGGAAGGCUGGACUGUCUUCACAGGACACCAGGGAGAAGCCUCAAGCCACUGCCCCCUGACAAGUCGCAGCUCUCCAGCCUGUCUCCUCACUCCCCUCCCCUCCACAUGGGGGGGUUGGGGUGGGGGCGGGGAAGGUUCGGGGCAGGGGUCAUUUCAGCUACUGGGCACCAGUCUCCUCCUCAUGUUUAUCCUGUUCCCUUUGCUUGAAAGGUUCGUACUCCAGAUCCUUGUAAAACCGCUUCUCACCCUUUGAGUCUCAGCUUAAAUGUCCCCUCCUUGGAGGGGUCUUCCCUGACAAUGAAGCUCCGACCGUCCUCUCCUGUUUUACCCAGUUCAUUUCUUUCUGGCAUUUGUAACUACUUGAAGUUAAAGUGUGUGCCAUGU
Molecule: long non-coding RNA, 1545 nt
Filed under: Homo sapiens (human)
Lineage: Eukaryota; Metazoa; Chordata; Mammalia; Primates; Hominidae
Description: HSALNT0384231
Source: RNAcentral